This 1245-nucleotide long non-coding RNA is filed under the name Papio anubis (olive baboon). RNAcentral's name for it is "lncRNA (ENSPANG00000045890.1)". The record is from RNAcentral. Lineage: Eukaryota; Metazoa; Chordata; Mammalia; Primates; Cercopithecidae.
AGUUCCCUGUUUCUCUAUUUAUUUCUCAUUUGAAAUUAUGCAGAUUGACUCUCCUUUCCUUCUCUCCUAGGGGGCAAAUCCUCGAACGCGAACCUGAUCUCAUGUCACAGAAGCAACUUGCCAUGAAAUCCGCUAAUGCGCCGCGACUCGCCCACCAGGAUAAAUAACCCCAUCGUCCGUGUAAUCAGCCCGUUCCCAAUGAAGUCGUUUUCCUCGAAUGCACUCUCUGCUUGCCACACUGGAGGAAUCCAACCCACAGAGGUUUCGGAAACCCAGUUUGAGUGAUUCCAGCCUAGACUGAAACCCUGCGAACCUCCCAGGAAAGAGAGCCCGGCCCGGGCCAAGCAGUCGGACACACACACACACACACACACACACACACACACACACACGGACGGCGUAGCUCUUCGCAGGAUGGAAGGCUGGAUGCGGAUCUGGGAGGCUGUGGCUAAGCGAACCAGGAAGACUGUGAGGGAAACCAAUACAGCAGUGUCAUCUUGAAAGUUAUUUGGAAGAACAGGACCUGGAGUCUGGGUUUGAAUCAAAAAACUAUGAGCAAGGGACAGAUUACCCAGUAUUUCUUUGGAGCCAGACAGAACUGAGACCUGCCCAGCUGAACCAGCUUGGUUUGGAUUAGGAAAUUAUUCUCAGACACAGUAGCACACACAUCCUCUGACAGCGAGCUCACUCCUGGGCAGUGGGCUUCUGGCUCUGCCACUGCUCUCCACAACCACCCUACAGGCCUCCUCCAGGUUUUGCCAGGCAAAUGAAAGGAGCGGAACUCGAUAGUAAAUUAUUUUGUUCAGCUUUCUCUCUUUUUAUGAAAAUAAAAGGCAACACUUUGUCAUUUUUAAUCACAUAAGCAGACAAUAAAUCUAAUUUUGAUAUUGAUUAUUUUCCAGAAUCCAGUGAUUUUUUGUAGUGGCUGUUGUGUUUCCUUUCUGAAGAACAGCUGUUUUCUUGUAGACAGUGUGGCAAUGGGGCUGCCUCUAUGCAGGCUGGUGCUUAUCUGAAACACGUUGUGGACUUUGAAGCCAGAUAGCUGACAAGGGAUUCUUCCUGAGUGGCAGGAAGUUUGGAUUUUGUCUGAGACAGUGAUUUGAAUGGGCCGCCCCGGUGCCCUAGACUAGAUGUAAGGCUUUGACGGUGCCUUUAGGGGUUACAGCAUUUGAGAUUGACAGGUUUAAGUUUUUCUCGAAAUAAAAUCAAGUAAAUAAAAAUAAAAACAACCCCCAAAUCUUGCUG